This 124-nucleotide ribosomal RNA is filed under the name Callithrix jacchus (white-tufted-ear marmoset). Lineage: Eukaryota; Metazoa; Chordata; Mammalia; Primates; Cebidae. The record is from RNAcentral.
GUCUACAGCCAUACCAUACCACCUUGAACGUGCCCCAUUUCCUCUCAUCUCAGAAGCUAAGCAGGGUCGGGCCUGGUUAGUACAUGGAUGGGAUACCAUCUGGGAAUAACAGGUACUGUAGUCU